UCAUCCUAAAAAUAUAUAUAUAAUAAUAAUCGAGUUGAAAAUUAAAAUUCGAAUAAAAUAAAUAAUCGUAUAAUUAUUCAUCUUGCGAAUCAAAAGGAUUAACGCAGGGAAUUGGUUCAGAAAUCUUCGCCUUUAUCUUUAAUUCCGAAAAAGAGGAAAAAACUUGAAAGGAAGAAAAGUAAUAAUUAAAUCCUGAUUUGUUUGUUUGAAUAAUUAAUUCCACGUACCAGCUGAUAAAUCUAUCUCCACGAAAGGGGCUGAUGAAACGGUGUUGAAAAUAAAACGAUACAGUAUUUAUUGGCUUUCGGAGAGGGGCUUUCGUGACAAAUUACGAGCCAUAAUAAAUCUACUCCAGACUGUUACUUAUUAUCGUUCGGGACGCGUUCCUGGUUGGAGUUGCAGAGAACAAGAACGAACUAUUAUCCAAUAGUUACUUUAAAAUAGGACGAAGAAGGCAUUCCGUUUUUACAUACAAAUAAUAAUUUCAAGCUUAAAUUAACGCCUCGUGAUUUUCUGCUCGAUGAUCGAAUAAUUUCGAUAUUUACGAAUUUUUUUUGAAAAAUAUUAUAGAUGUCUUGUUAUUUCUACGUAUCAGUGACAGUGUUUUUUCAAUGAACGACAGGUAUUUCAUAAUGUGGGAAAAAUUAUAUUAUGAUUUUAGAAAGUUAAAUAGUUUUGGACUUGGAUUUAAUAUUCCAUUUAUAAAUCUAUUAUGUAAAAUCGUAGAUGAAAGUAUCAUAAGGAAGAUCAAUUUUUACAUUCUUUAUUCUUAUUCAAUAUUCUCCAUUAUUUGCCAAUCAAAGAAUAUAGAAGAUUAUUCGCUACUUAUAAUUUUGAUGAUUAAUGAAUGAAGCAAAAAUCUGAACAAUGACUUUUAAAAAACGUAAAAUUGUAAAUUGAACGAAUUUUAAGCGAUAUAAAAAAAAGAAAAAUGCAUAAACUUUCGAUCCUUUCUUUUACACGUUAACUUCGAUUGGAAGGGGAAACAAGAUUUCUGGAAAAAGUCGAAACGAAAAGGCAAAUCCAUCUCGUUUCUCUCCCUGAACGUUCGUAUACAGCGUGGAUGGAACGGAACUCGAACUCUCCAUUCCAACGAAACGAGAUUGACUGUAAAAGUUGGCAUUGUUGAGGAAAAGGGGAGAAGAACGCGAGUUCUGGAAAAGAGUCACGGGCCAGCCAUGUGUGUACAUACAUAAGUGCUCACGUACAGGGUGUUUCAUUUCGAACGUGAAAUAUUGGAUAUUUGAAGGAUCAAAAAUUUCACACACACACGGAUAUCCAAUAAUAAGAUUGGAAUAAUAGAAAAUGAAACGAUAAUUCCACGUCGUUUUAAGCUAUCAACUACUUCUUCCAUCGAUAUUAGAUGGAAUUUAAAAUACAGGGAAAUUUUAUUUUAAAUUGCUUCUUUAACUUACAAUUUGAUUCAUCGUAUAUUCCCUUCCAGUAUUUAUAAUCACAUUAUAUUCACCAUCAUUCUAUAUAAUUUAGUAAUACUCUCGUACUGAUUUAUAUUUCAAACUGUUCCUCCGUGUAGAAUUGCUUUCCGUAGGACAAAUACUUCUUGCAGGAUGGGGUCCUCUAUUUAUUCUUAAUGUUGUAAUCUCAAAAUUCAGAAGAUGGUGGACACUCUUUGUCCAAAAAGAGAGGUCAAGAUGGUCUUCUAAUUCUAGAAAUUUGAUUUUAUUUAGAAGAAAAAAUAUAACAGGUGGCUGAAUAAAUUAUUAUUCAACCCCGUUCGGUUGCAAGAACAAGCCUGUAAACCGGGAAAAAACGAAUCGAAGUCGAAGCGUUUCGUUAAGUGGUGGCUUGGUCGGGUCGGGAGAGGAGGCAAACGAGAUGCACAUCCAUCAGAGGCAGGGAGGAAAUGGCGAGGGUGUAGUAGGCGAUCCUUUAGAAGCAACAGCUUUCGUUGCUUUGCAAGCUCGGGGGUCUUCCACGAGACGCCCUCGUUCGUCCACGCGGUGAGAGAAGUUGGGAAGAAGUCUUGGCAUCGGCCAGAGAAAUCUCGCGCAGCCUGUAUUCAAGAACCAUGGAAGGAUAACCGUGGAAGGCGAGAUUAAAGGCGUGGUGGAACGUUUGGGACGAGGUAAGAUCUCCCAUUGUUUGUCGUUGCUUGGAAAAUCAUUGUGAAGAAAUUCAUGCUCUGGAAACGUUGUAAGGCAAAAGAAAAUAGAAUAGGAAAAUCAUUGUAAAGAAAUUCAAGCUGAAAGGAAACGUUGUAAUGCAAAAGAAGUAAAUAGUAUAAGAAUUUAUGGUAUCAACAAUUGACUUUUGCAUCUUGUUAAGAAAUUCUCCUAGUCAAUUCUUGGAACAAUUCUAUAUAAUGCACACUUUUGUAAUAACAAUGUUUUCACGUCGUGUACAACAAGGAAAAUAUAUUUUCUCUUUGAUACAAAUACUCGUCAUUGUCAGAGAGAAAUAUUUCCUUCCGAGGAGGAAAUUUAAAUUCUUGAUAACUCCAACUUGAUUACUCGUUGAAAUAUUUAUAUAUAAGUCUUUGAAACAUAGAUAGAAACGUAGACCAUUCCGCUUUGUAAGGGGUAUACACCAUUGUGAAAUAUUCAAAUGACAGCUUUUUUUUUUUUUUUUUUUUCAUGGAUGAAAAGAAGAGAGUUUCUGGUAAGAAACUGGAUUAAAAAAAGUCUGACUUGUAUAUUUUUACGUAUCGUUGGGAUAUUACAAAAUACAAAGAUGUUGAUAAUUAUUAAAUGAAUCGAUGUUUUAAUUUUUGAAAUGUUAAUAAAGAAUAACAAAUAAGGAUUUUUCAAAAUAAACAUAAACUAAAUCUCAGCUCAACAUAUCAAGUUUUAUAAACUAAAACUGUUCCAGAUAUUCUAGACUCGCAAAAAGAAUAGAGAAACAGGAUAAAGUGAUUGGAUGGAACGCGAUUGGUUGAAAGCGGUCAAUGGCUCUUGCUAAAAUUGUUCAACGAAACAAAUAUUCAAAAUAUGAAGGAAAUUGUUCAGACGACAUAAUGGCGCACAUUGAUUCGAUGAAUGGGUGGAAAACUCGCGCAAUUUAUGUCCAGCGAAAAAGGAAUUUCCGAAAAUUCCAUUAACCAUUUAAUUCCAUGCAAAGUGAACAUUAAAAUCGCGGACUAAAUUCCUUUCGGCAAACAGACGAGCAACCUCUUUUCCCUAAAACCGUAAUCACGUUUAUCACGGUCGUGAUCGUUUCACGUCUAAAACGAAUUCUCUUGCCAAGUUUUUCUUUUUUCUCUCUCCCUCCUUCCCUUCUUUUUUCCUCUCUCUCAUUUUUCCUUUCUUUUUUUCUUUCUUUCUCUUCUCCUCCUUCUUCUUGUUCUUUUUUCAUCUUCCCUCGAAACACAUGCAAAUUAAUCGCAUUAUCAACGAAUCGAGCAUAUUGUUCUCUCCCUUUGUUUUCCGGGAACACAUCGAGAAAUUGAAAAUUUUGCCAAUGUUAUAGGUAACGUAAAGAAACGGUUAUAAACCAGGGGGAUCCAGGAUAAUUUAUGGAGAAGGCAUGCCGCCAAGAUUUAAGGGUACUUAUAAAUUUUCAAAACUGACGAAUAUUGGAGACUCGUUCAGUCAAGUAUUUUACUUGUUAGCAAUGAGUAUCAAAUAUUUCAUAUUUGUUACUUGGAUUUAUAUUUAACUAGAUUAAACUCGAUCCCAUCUACCGUUGGUGCUCGAAUAAGAACGAAACGUUGAAAAAAAGUGAAGGAAAAAAACGAGAAUGGAGAACAGUUGACGAAACGAAAAAAGAAAAAAAAGACUGGAAUCACAACUUGAACAUCGAAUGACUGGAACUUGAAAAAGGAGGACAAAAAGCUGUAUAGCCCUUUCAACGUAUCGUUCCACGAUCCCGUCGUCGAAAGCCUUUGCACGAUCGUUUUUCCCGCGUUUUUUUCUCUCAUUCCUUCUACUUUCUUCGACCCCCGUAUCACUCUUGUUUCGAGCAUUAAUUUCUCUCUCUCUCUUUCUCUCUAACCUUUUUUCUCUGUCUAAUAGAUGCCAUCUAAGGACAAAAACUAUUAUCGACACGGAAAAAUAUACGAGUACAGAUCAGCGAGGCGAAAAUCAAAUAGAAAAUAAAAUCAAUAAUAACAAAAUUGCAUUGAAAGAGUUUAAAUAAUUGUCGAAUAUAAAUAGAAUUUGUAAUUAAUUUGUAUUUCUAUAAAAGAUAGUAAGAAUUUUUACACUAAUAAAUAAAUCAAGAUGAAAAAUAAAUAAACAAAAGUGCACUUCGAUCUUCGAUCACACGAAGAAUAGGCUCGUGAAGAGAAUCCUCAGAGAAUCGCAGAUUAAUCGAGCAAUUACGAUCACGAUAUAUCCGUCGUUUCACGGAUCGACGCUUUUGAAAUUUUGAACGAGAGAUCGUGCCCACGUGGACACGAUUUUCUCGACCACGGAGGCGUUUCCACCGAGACGGGCCUGUUUUCACGAUAAAGAUCUUCGAUAGUUGGGCCCAUUACCUGUUGCACACACUUUGUGAAAGAGUGACAUAACGUAAGGAGAAGCAGAAACCGGCUGAAUCGUAUGUGGGAGUAAUCCUUGCGCCGUGUAGGCCGAUCCCAAUUUCCUUCUUUUAAUCGAAUCACGUGGAUGUCUGUACGUCAACUUUUAUACACAUUUCUUUAAUCCUCUAACGUAUCUUUUUCAAAGGGAAAUCGUCGAAGAAUUCAUCGCAAUGCAUUUAGUUGUGGGAUGAAAGUAAUUGAGGAGGAAAUUUCCAAGAAGGUAAUUACGUACUUGUUAAAUUUAAUAUUCUGACGAAAGAUAAGUUACUGGAAAAGAAGACAGACUUUUCCCUCCUUUUUUCAUUCUUCCCUUCGUAAGUAUUCUUUCAACUUUUAUACACAUUUCUUUAAUCCUCUAACGUAUCUUUUUCAAAGGGAAAUCGUCGAAGAAUUCAUCGCAAUGCAUUUAGUUGUGGGAUGAAAGUAAUUGAGGAGGAAAUUUCCAAGAAGGUAAUUACGUACUUGUUAAAUUUAAUAUUCUGACGAAAGAUAAGUUACUGGAAAAGAAGACAGACUUUUCCCUCCUUUUUUCAUUCUUCCCUUCGUAAGUAUUCUUUCAACUUUUAUACACAUUUCUUUAAUCCUCUAACGUAUCUUUUUCAAAGGGAAAUCGUCGAAGAAUUCAUCGCAAUGCAUUUACAUUGUGGGAUGAAAGUAAUUGAGGAGGAAAUUUCCAAGAAGAGCCGAGUAUCAAUUUGCAUAAUGCGUGUGCACUUCGGCCGAUUAAUGCGAGACGUGGCUGGAAUAUUUUUUUUUUUUUUCGAAAACGUUAAUUCGAAUGUUCGUCGCUUUUAUGCCGGUGAUUAAUUUAGUGGGGAGCUAAUAGAGUGGAGAAAAAUUGGAAAAAUUCAGGUAUUAAAGGUGUAAUUAUAUGAUUAUUAUUUUCUAUUGGGAUAGGUUUCGAUUUGAUUUUGUUCUUCCAGGUUGUAUUCCUGUAUUUUUUUUGGAUUAUUUUUAUCGAUUCAAAUCAUGAAGUUUAAUAUUGUUUAAAGAGAUAAAUUAAAGUAGCGAGGUGAUAUAAUAUUUGCAGAGAAAGAUUGAUCGAUAAAGAAGAUAAUUUUAUUGAAAUUUUCGUACGCGCAUGUAACGUUGUCAGCGAUUAUUUUACAAUUUUCCUCGAAAUAGCAGGAUGAAAUAAAUAAAGUAGGAAUAAAAUAAUAUCAACGAAUUUCACGGUUCGUAAAAACUAUUUUCCAUCUCUCCCAAAAGUGUAUUACAUCCGCCCACUUUCUCUCCACGUGGCAAAGGAUAUACCCCCCGUGGAGUAUAAAUCGAUUUUCAACAGAACUUUCAUCGCAUCAGCGGAAAAACAAGCCGGCCAUCAAUGUCGAUGAAUUUUCACUCGUGAAAAAUUGCACGCCCACAGCAGAGCUGCAAUUACUUUACACGCACGUUUAUUUUUUCACCCACUCUCGAAACAAACGUUGGAAGAAAACGUAACCGAUUUUCAAAACUUGCCGAUUCAUUGUUACGAACUGCUAUUAUAAUGUUUUUUUUACGACUCUUUUAUAAUAAACUUACUUUGGGGAUGUUAUAUCGGAUAUUCAUGAAAUAUUUUUGGAUUUCUGCAAAAACAAAGAUUUUUAUUUAUUAAAAUCUUUCCGCCUCGCUGGUAUUAUUCGAUAUUUUUCUAUUUAUUUUCUCCAAAUUCUUCCAACGGAUGGAACAAUUUACAUUAUAAUUUAAAAUUUAUCUCUCAUUAUUAAGAACCAAUUUCCUCUUUCCUCAAAAUCGUUACAAUUAAAAUCUUUUUCUUUUCAACAAUUUAUUAACAAAGUCCACAUAAAACAAUUGUUAAAAAUUAUUCGAAUGAAAAUAUAUUUCUUCCACAGUUUGAGAAACGUAUUAACAAUAAAUUUAUUCAAAAUUAUCACAUCUCCAGAUUCGAUUUGAUUCGAUCGAAGACAGGACAUUGCCCGUUGUUAUUUUCCUUUCCUUGAUACUUAAAUGUAUUUAUUUACAAGAGAUAUCGAUACCUGGCAAAACGUCGUCCCGUCACGACAGGAAGAAGUCACUUCGCCGACUUUCCGCUCCGUGUCUAAUAGACCGUUUGACGCGUACACAUCGUAUAAAGCAAUCGGCGGUAUCACGUGAAAGUCGGUGGAGUUAGCGACGGUAUAAUGUAUAGGCCGAUGUUUGAUUAAUGAAACGUGCCGUAAAUUGAUAUCUCGACACGUACGAGCGGCUAUUUUCGCUAAACAUUCAGCUGAACAUUUAUUUCACUUUGUUAUCGGUGUAAUUUUAUCGUGAUCGGUUUUCUUAACGAUUCGACGCUUGGUCUCGGUUCUUAUUCAUUCUUUCUUUCUUUCUUCUUCUUCUUUUUUUUUUCCUGUUAUUAAGUAUAACGAGUUAAACACGAGUUAAGCAUGAUGUAUGUGACGUGGAAAUUUAUUUGUAUAUUUAUAAAUUUCGUGUCUGACGUUUUUUAUUAAUCGUAAA
This is a long non-coding RNA of Apis mellifera (honey bee), 6919 nucleotides long. RefSeq lists it as uncharacterized. The transcript has 9 exons. NCBI's taxonomy places the organism in Eukaryota, Metazoa, Arthropoda, Insecta, Hymenoptera, Apidae. The record is from RefSeq and is a predicted model, not a curated record.